RNAcentral lists this ribosomal RNA (502 nucleotides) under Syllis punctulata. RNAcentral's name for it is "partial 16S ribosomal RNA". It matches the Rfam family "Bacterial large subunit ribosomal RNA", at positions 1809 to 2606 of the family's 2925-position model. The record is from RNAcentral. Lineage: Eukaryota; Metazoa; Annelida; Polychaeta; Phyllodocida; Syllidae.
AAAAACAUUGCCUUUAGUUAAAAUAUGAAAGGUAAAUCUGCCCAGUGAUAACAGCAAUAGCUAAAUCUUUCAACGGCCGCGGUAUUCCUGACCGUGCUAAGGUAGCGCAAUCAUGUGCCUCUUAAUUAGAGGAUAGAAUGAAUGAAUCAACAAGAAAUAUACUGUCUCUUUUAUGCUUUUUGAAAUUUCGUUUUAGGUGCAAACUCCUAAAUUACUAACACAGACAGAAAGACCCUAUAAGCUUUUAUCAUAAUAUUUUAUAAAUAGAAAGAUAUUUAAUUGGGGCGAUUUUAAGUAAAAAACACUUAUUAUAAUUAGAAAAAUAUUUCACGCAAUCUAUCUAAUAGCACAUAAGUAAGUUACUAUAGGGAUAACAGGCUAAUACUUCUUGAGAGCACAAAUCAACAGAAGUGCUUAGCACCUCGAUGUUGGCUUAAGAAUCCCAAUCUAUGCAGAAGUAGAUAAGGGGGGUUUGUUCAACCUUUAAUUUCUUACAUGAUCU